UACGAAGGGGCUAGCGUUGCUCGGAAUCACUGGGCGUAAAGGGUGCGUAGGCGGGUCUUUAAGUCAGGGGUGAAAUCCUGGAGCUCAACUCCAGAACUGCCUUUGAUACUGAAGAUCUUGAGUUCGGGAGAGGUGAGUGGAACUGCGAGUUGUAGAGGUGAAAUUCGUAGAUAUUCGCAAGAACACCAGUGGCGAAGGCGGCUCACUGGCCCGAUACUGACGCUGAGGCACGAAAGCGUGGGGAGCAAACAGG
This 253-nucleotide ribosomal RNA is filed under the name uncultured bacterium. RNAcentral describes it as "partial 16S ribosomal RNA". It matches the Rfam family "Bacterial small subunit ribosomal RNA", at positions 524 to 776 of the family's 1533-position model. The record is from RNAcentral.